CCAAUCAUAAUACUCCGACACCUAAUAUCACCAAACAAUAUAAAACUCAUUUCAUACCUCCGAACGGCAAAUCAGUUUAAUUAUGAUACCAAUAUAACAAUCCAAUGUUCUAACACUAACAACUGGUUAAAUCCAAACCGGUGGUUCAGUAUGCUUAAGUCUUUUCAUUAACGCUAGAGUACUGAGUCCUUAGAUACUCAACUAUCAAUUCUUAUUAGUACUAGAGUACUUAAUUUGUAUAGAGCAAUGCUAUCGGUACACCUCAAAGCGGAAUUUACAUUUUACACCAACUCAAUUCCAAAAUCAUUAAUAUUCUACUUAUGACAUCAAUUUUUAGUCCUCGACUUUUCAAUUACUUUUACAUUGUUCACUUUAUUAUUUGUGUUGAUUAAGUCUUACAGUUAAAAAAAAACUAGGUAAAAUAAUUAAAAAGAAGCAAUUACUUAUAUGCUCUUGAAAAGUUUCAGACUUUCUUAUUUACUCUUCGUAAAAGGCUAAUAUAAAAAAUAUCCUCUUAACACUCCAAAUUCUUUCGAAUAUACCAAAUAAAAAAGGCUCCAUUUUACGGUCAAAUAACAUUAUUUAAUGGUGUCGGCGUGGUAGUUUUCAUUUAGAGUAAACUAAAUUUUCGAUCGCUGAGACCUGAUCUAAAUAAAUAAAAAUGAUUUAGGACCACAUUGUCAAAAUUAAAAGAUUAAGAAGUGAUGUAAAAUUUUGAUAAAGUGUAGUGAUGGUCGCUAGCAGUACUAUAAAUUAAGGAAAAUGUUUAUUGCAUAUUCAAAAAGAGAGGGAAAGUCUUACCCUCACUAUUCUAAGGUUGAUAAAAAUUGAAAUAAACUUUAGUAAAAAUUAAAAAAAUUUGACAUGAUAAGUAAAAUAUUAAUGAUUUUAUAAUACAGUGGGGGUAACGAUAUACACCCAGUUUUGAAAUAUACCAAUAGUAUUGCUCAUAAGUUAAAUUAUAGAUCUCUCUCUUUCUAUAUAUCAUAGACACUUCUGUAAGCCUUGUAUGUCUGUGUCGGACGCGGGUGUGUUCGUGUCGGACGCGUGUGUGAUGUGGACAGUCCUUGAACGCCUAUUUAAUGCCGAUUCAUAGCGCAUACAGCGAGUUGAGCUGGAAUACUAUCGGUAGCAAAUGGGCUCCGUUACCACCCAUUUGUUUUUGAUGAUGGAGCCUUCAAAUUGACGAUCGGCACCGUUGAAAAUGAUCUAUACUACUUGAAGUAUCUAGAAAUCAAAUUUCAUACUUUUUCGAUAUUGUUUUCUUGUCCAUCAAGUGGGCGUAAAAAUGAAUGGCUGAAAAUGAAUAUCCUCUAAAAAGUGAUGAUAGAAAUUUUGUAAUCAUGAUCGAGAAUAUAAAUCUUGUUCUAAAUAGUUUAAAGAAUUUUCUAACAAAAAUUCAAUUGAUUUGGAUAGCUUUACACCGUUAAACGAGAAAACCCCUCAUAUCAACCAUUAAAAUUACUAAUUUUGAAACCCUUUGAUCAUUANUAUAUAUAUAUAUAUGGAAAAUAUUUCUUGUAUACUCAAAAAGGAAGUGAAGAUCUUACACCCAUUAUUCUUAAAUUGGUAAAAUUCAAAUUUUUAGUAUAAAAAAAAAAUUGAUGUGACAAAUAGAAUAUCAAUAGCCUUGGAAUGGAGUGGGUAUAAAAUAUAUACACCGCUUUAAGGUGUACCGGUAGCAAUGCUCAUAUAUUAAUGUCCCUAUUUUGGAACUUAAUCACUCUAUUUUUGUAUUAAACAACUAACAUCAAUAGAUUGCAGUUACUAAUCUCUGAUCAUUAAAAAGCCAAACUUUUAAAAGUAAUUAACUGGAAAUAGUGAAUCAUAUUUAUAAUAGGAUAAAUUUAGGUCUUCUACUCAUCUCCAAAAAUUGAAAUGUUCGCACGAAAAGUAUGGAAAACGAAAUCGCAAUGUUGGCACAAUACAAGAGUUAUCUGUACUUAUUACUAUAAUAGCCUCAAAUCUCUAUAUAUGUAUCCAAUCAUAAUAACCCCACACGUUCAUGGUGUCAAAUUUUCGAAACUAAGACCGUACUUAUUACUAUAAUAGAGUUUCAAAUCUCUGGGAGUGUCCAAUCAUAAUACUCCGACACCUUCAUGGUGUCAAAUUUUCUAACCUAAGAUCACCAAACAAUAUAAAACUCAUUUCAUAACUCCGAAUGACAAAUCAGUUUAAUUACGAUACCAAUAUAACAAUCCAAUGUUCUAACAUAACAACUGGUUAAAUCCAAACCGGUGGUUCAAUAUGCUUAAGUCUUUUUAUUAACACUAGAGUACUGAGUCCUUAGAUUCUCAACUAUCAAUUCUUAUUAGUACUGGAGUACUUAAUUUGUGUAGAGCAAUACUAUCGGUACACCUCAAAGCGGGAUUUAUAUUUUACACCAACUCAAUUCCAAAACCAUUAAUAUUCUACUUAUGACAUCAAUUUUUAGUCCUCGACCUUUCAAUUACUUUUACAUUGUUCACUUUAUUAUUUGUGUUGAUUAAGUCUUGCAGUUAAAAAAAAACUAGGUAAAAUAAUUAAAAAGAAGCAAUUACUUAUAUACUCCUGAAAAGUUUCAGACUUUCUUAUUUACUCUUCGUAAAAGGCUANUAAAUUAUGUACGGUGAAAAAAAAAAUUUCUUAAAAUAUAUGAAUUAUAAUUGAAAAUUUUAUAAACUUUCAUUCGUACGAAAAAUAUAAUAAUAGUUUAUCAAAUUUAAUAUUUUAUACAUAAUAAAAAUAUAUUAUUAUAUUAAUAAUAUUAUAUUUUAUUAGCGGUGUCUAUGUCGUGUCUGUAUCUUAAUUUAUUGAAAGUUGUCGAGUUACGGUGUUCGAGUGGUGUCGUAUUUCGUAUUUUGUGUCAGUGUUCGUGACGCCUAGCUCUCUUUCCUUAUGUAGAGUCUAUGCAAUUCUUAUUACGAGUCAUGUCGUGUUUUGUAUCUCGUGUCAGUAUUUGUGACGCCUAGCUCUCUUUCCUUACGUAAAGUCUAUGCAAUUCUUAUUAUUAC
This 2993-nucleotide long non-coding RNA is filed under the name Ananas comosus (pineapple). RNAcentral's name for it is "long non-coding RNA (ACOM_LNC022527)". Lineage: Eukaryota; Viridiplantae; Streptophyta; Magnoliopsida; Poales; Bromeliaceae. The record is from RNAcentral.